AAUUAAAGUAGUAAUAAAAAUAAAACUUAUUUAUUAUGGCGGCAUUACAUCUAACCAGAGGAACUUGUUUCUUAAUCGAUAAUCCACGAUAAAUCUAACUUUAUAAUCUAACUUAUAUACCGUCAUUAUAAAAAUUUAUUAAAAAAUUUAUUUUAAAUAAUAUAUAACAUAUUAGAUCAAGGUGUAGUUUAUAAUAAAGGGAACAAUGAGUUACUUUAAAAAAAAAUUUAAAGAUUAUUUUACUAAAAUAUUAAAUGAAAAAGAAUUUGAUAGUAAUAAAAUAAUAAUAAUUUUAUAUGACU
This 302-nucleotide ribosomal RNA is filed under the name Mastigusa sp. RNAcentral describes it as "partial small subunit ribosomal RNA". The record is from RNAcentral. Lineage: Eukaryota; Metazoa; Arthropoda; Arachnida; Araneae; Hahniidae.